GUGAACGCUGGCGGUAGGCCUAACACAUGCAAGUCGCACGGCAGCACAGUAAGAGCUUGCUCUUACGGGUGGCGAGUGGCGGACGGGUGAGGAAUACAUCGGAAUCUACUUUUUCGUGGGGGAUCACGUAGGGAAACUUACGCUAAUACCGCAUACGACCUACGGGUGAAAGCAGGGGAUCUUCGGACCUUGCGCGAUUGAAUGAGCCGAUGUCGGAUUAGCUAGUUGGCGGGGUAAAGGCCCACCAAGGCGACGACCCGUAGCUGGUCUGAGAGGAUGAUCAGCCACACUGGAACUGAGACACGGUCCAGACUCCUACGGGAGGCAGCAGUGGGGAAUAUUGGACAAUGGGCGCAAGCCUGAUCCAGCCAUACCGCGUGGGUGAAGAAGGCCUUCGGGUUGUAAAGCCCUUUUGUUGGGAAAGAAAAGCAGCAGGUUAAUACCCCGCUGUUCUGACGGUACCCAAAGAAUAAGCACCGGCUAACUUCGUG
RNAcentral lists this ribosomal RNA (491 nucleotides) under uncultured bacterium. RNAcentral describes it as "partial 16S ribosomal RNA". It matches the Rfam family "Bacterial small subunit ribosomal RNA", at positions 29 to 507 of the family's 1533-position model. The record is from RNAcentral.